Molecule: small RNA, 93 nt
Filed under: Arabidopsis thaliana (thale cress)
Lineage: Eukaryota; Viridiplantae; Streptophyta; Magnoliopsida; Brassicales; Brassicaceae
Description: ATSL160700
Source: RNAcentral
UGUUAUUGCCAUUUCUGCUUUUAGUUUCAUUUCAUUUAUGUUAUUGCAUACUAGGACUGUUAGAACCAACCAACUCUCUACUUGGCUUGACUU